UACACAUGCAAGUCGAGCGGCAGCGGGAAAGUAGCUUGCUACUUUUGCCGGCGAGCGGCGGACGGGUGAGUAAUGCCUGGGAAAUUGCCCAGUCGAGGGGGAUAACAGUUGGAAACGACUGCUAAUACCGCAUACGCCCUACGGGAGAAAGCAGGGGACCUUCGGGCCUUGCGCUAUCAGAUGAGCCUAGGUCGGAUUAGCUAGUUGGUGAGGUAAUGGCUCACCAAGGCGACGAUCCGUAACUGGUCUGAGAGGAUGAUCAGUCACACUGGAACUGAGACACGGUCCAGACUCCUACGGGAGGCAGCAGUGGGGAAUAUUGGACAAUGGGCGAAAGCCUGAUCCAGCCAUGCCGCGUGUGUGAAGAAGGUCUUCGGAUUGUAAAGCACUUUAAGUUGGGAGGAAGGGCAGUAAGCUAAUACCUUUCUGUUUUGACGUUACCGACAGAAUAAGCACCGGCUAACUCUGUGCCAGCAGCCGCGGUAAUACAGAGGGUGCAAGCGUUAAUCGGAAUUACUGGGCGUAAAGCGCGCGUAGGUGGUUCGUUAAGUUGGAUGUGAAAGCCCCGGGCUCAACCUGGGAACUGCAUCCAAAACUGGCGAGCUAGAGUACGGUAGAGGGUGGUGGAAUUUCCUGUGUAGCGGUGAAAUGCGUAGAUAUAGGAAGGAACACCAGUGGCGAAGGCGACCACCUGGACUGAUACUGACACUGAGGUGCGAAAGCGUGGGGAGCAAACAGGAUUAGAUACCCUGGUAGUCCACGCCGUAAACGAUGUCAACUAGCCGUUGGAAUCCUUGAGAUUUUAGUGGCGCAGCUAACGCAUUAAGUUGACCGCCUGGGGAGUACGGCCGCAAGGUUAAAACUCAAAUGAAUUGACGG
Molecule: ribosomal RNA, 879 nt
Filed under: uncultured bacterium
Lineage: Bacteria
Description: bacterial SSU rRNA
Rfam family: Bacterial small subunit ribosomal RNA
Source: RNAcentral